This 589-nucleotide ribosomal RNA is filed under the name uncultured bacterium. Its description in RNAcentral is "bacterial SSU rRNA". It matches the Rfam family "Bacterial small subunit ribosomal RNA", at positions 338 to 946 of the family's 1533-position model. The record is from RNAcentral.
CCUACGGGAGGCAGCAGUGGGGAAUCUUGCACAAUGGAGGAAACUCUGAUGCAGCGAUGCCGCGUGAGUGAAGAAGGCCUUUGGGUUGUAAAGCUCUUUUGUAGGGGAAGAUAAUGACUGUACCCUAAGAAUAAGGUCCGGCUAACUUCGUGCCAGCAGCCGCGGUAAUACGAAGGGACCUAGCGUAGUUCGGAAUUACUGGGCGUAAAGCGCGCGUAGGCCGUUGAGUUAGUUAAUUGUGAAAUCCCAAAGCUUAACUUUGGAACUGCAAUUAAAACUGCUCGACUAGAGUUUGAUAGAGGAAAGCGGAAUACAUAGUGUAGAGGUGAAAUUCGUAGAUAUUAUGUAGAACACCAGUUGCGAAGGCGGCUUUCUGGAUCAACACUGACGCUGAGGCGCGAAAGUAUGGGUAGCAAAGAGGAUUAGAUACCCUCGUAGUCCAUACCAUAAACGAUGAUUGCUAGAUGUUGGAAAUUUAUUUUCAGUAUCGCAGCUAACGCAUUAAGCAAUCCGCCUGGGGAUACGACCGCAAGGUUAAAACCUCAAAUGAAUUGACCGGNUGAGAGNGCGAGACGACGACGAGGAGAGG